AUUGAACGCUGGCGGCAUGCCUUACACAUGCAAGUCGAACGGUAACAGGUCUUCGGUUGCUGUCGAGUGGCGAACGGGUGCGUAAUACAUCGGAACGUGCCCAGACGUGGGGGAUAACGAGGCGAAAGCUUUGCUAAUACCGCAUACGAUCUAAGGAUGACAGCAGGGGACCGCAAGGCCUUGCGCGUUUGGAGCGGCCGAUGGCAGAUUAGGUCGUUGGUGGGAUAAAAGCUUACCAAGCCGACGAUCUGUAGCUGGUCUGAGAGGACGACCAGCCACACUGGGACUGAGACACGGCCCAGACUCCUACGGGAGGCAGCAGUGGGGAAUUUUGGACAAUGGGCGAAAGCCUGAUCCAGCAAUGCCGCGUGCAGGAUGAAGGCCUUCGGGUUGUAAACUGCUUUUGUACGGAACGAAAAGGCUCUGGCUAAUACCUGGGGCACAUGACGGUACCGUAAGAAUAAGCACCGGCUAACUACGUG
RNAcentral lists this ribosomal RNA (482 nucleotides) under uncultured bacterium. RNAcentral's name for it is "partial 16S ribosomal RNA". It matches the Rfam family "Bacterial small subunit ribosomal RNA", at positions 30 to 507 of the family's 1533-position model. The record is from RNAcentral.